AGCAGCCGCGGUAAUUCCAGCUCCAAUAGCGUAUAUUAAAGUUGUUGCAGUUAAAAAGCUCGUAGUUGAAUUUCGAGAUCAAAUUGUCGGUCGUGCCUCGGUACGUACUGGCAUUAUUGAUUUCUCCUUUCUGAAGAACCAUGAUGUCAUUAAUUUGGUGUCUUGGGGAGUCAGGACUGUUACUUUGAAAAAAUUAGAGUGUUUAAAGCAGGCUCACGCUUGAGUACAUUAGCAUGGAAUAAUGAAAUAGGACGUUUGAUUCUAUUUUGUUGGUUUCUAGGAUCGACGUAAUGAUUAGUAGGGAUAGUUGGGGGCAUUAGCAUUCAAUUGUCAGAGGUGAAAUUCUUGGAUUUAUUGAAGACUAACUACUGCGAAAGCAUUUGCCAAGGAUGUUUUCAUUAAUCAAGAACGAAAGUUAG
RNAcentral lists this ribosomal RNA (419 nucleotides) under uncultured Glomus. RNAcentral describes it as "SSU rRNA". It matches the Rfam family "Eukaryotic small subunit ribosomal RNA", at positions 569 to 993 of the family's 1831-position model. Lineage: Eukaryota; Fungi; Glomeromycota; Glomeromycetes; Glomerales; Glomeraceae. The record is from RNAcentral.